AUACUUACCAGGCAGGGGAAAUGCAGCGAUCAAGUAGGUGGCUUUCCCAGGGCGAGGCGUGUUCAUUGCACUUGGGGCUCGCUGAGCUCUGCAAUUUCCUCACAUGGAGGAAACUCAGCUGCAUAAUUUUUGAGAAUGGGGGACUGCGUGCGUGCUCUAA
Molecule: small nuclear RNA, 160 nt
Organism: Dipodomys ordii (Ord's kangaroo rat)
Lineage: Eukaryota; Metazoa; Chordata; Mammalia; Rodentia; Heteromyidae
Gene: U1
Rfam family: U1 spliceosomal RNA
About the family: U1 is a small nuclear RNA (snRNA) component of the spliceosome (involved in pre-mRNA splicing). Its 5' end forms complementary base pairs with the 5' splice junction, thus defining the 5' donor site of an intron.
Source: Ensembl